GCCGGGCGUGGUGGCAUGUGCCUGUAGUCCCAACUACUUGGGAGGCUGAGGUUGGGGGAUUGUUUGAGCCCAGGAGGUUGAGGCUGCAGUGAUAUAUGAUCACGCCACUGCACUCCAGCCUGGGCAACAGAAUGAGACCCUGUCUCAA
Molecule: non-coding RNA, 148 nt
Filed under: Chlorocebus sabaeus (green monkey)
Lineage: Eukaryota; Metazoa; Chordata; Mammalia; Primates; Cercopithecidae
Source: Rfam by way of RNAcentral